RNAcentral lists this ribosomal RNA (490 nucleotides) under Clinopodes flavidus. Its description in RNAcentral is "partial large subunit ribosomal RNA". It matches the Rfam family "Bacterial large subunit ribosomal RNA", at positions 1828 to 2600 of the family's 2925-position model. Lineage: Eukaryota; Metazoa; Arthropoda; Chilopoda; Geophilomorpha; Geophilidae. The record is from RNAcentral.
GGUUUGUUGAAAUAUAUAAUAAGUCUUACCUGCUCAAUGUAACAAUAAAUAGCCGCGGUAAUUUGACUGUGCAAAGGUAGCAUAAUCAUUAGCCUUUUAAUUGGGGGCUGGAAUGAAGGGUUUGACGGGGGGUAGCUUUUUAAAAACAAUUUUGGUGAAUUUUAACUUAUUAUGAGGGUUUGGGAUAAUGGGGCUAUUUGACGAGAAGACCCUAUAAAGCUUUACAGAGGGCUUUGGUUUGUGGUGUUAUGUUUUGUUGGGGCAACAAUUUUUACAAAAAAAUAAUAUUUAACAGGAAUGUGGUGUUUAGCCGGAGGUUUAGUGAUCCAUAAUAUUUUGAAAAGGAGAGAAGUUACUUUAGGGAUAACAGCGUGAUUGUUUUGGAGAGUUCUUAUUGGUGAAGCAGUUUGCGACCUCGAUGUUGAAUUAAGAAGCCUUGUUUUCGCAAUAGAAUAUAAAAGGGGGUCUGUUCGACCUUUAAAUUCUUACA